This is a non-coding RNA of Arachis ipaensis, 401 nucleotides long. NCBI's taxonomy places the organism in Eukaryota, Viridiplantae, Streptophyta, Magnoliopsida, Fabales, Fabaceae. The record is from RefSeq and is a predicted model, not a curated record.
UACUCUCAUUAACCCUAAUUCACCCACACCAUUCUCAUCUUCUCCGAUCAGAUACCAUUGUCGUGUCCGAGUGCCAUUGUCGUCUUCUUCACCACCGUCUUGUGCGUCUUGCCGCCGUCUCCUGAGGUCCCGUCGGUGUUGUCUUCUGCAGUCUCAGCAUCUUCUUCUGUAGUCUCGGUGUCGUCGCCUUCUUCGUUGAGAUCUCGGCGCCGUCUUUGUCGUCUUCAAGCAGGGUUUUAGCGAUGUGCUUCGUUGAAUUUGCCAGAUCUCUAAAUUUUGUGAGGGAUUUUGUUCUUGUUAUGAUAGGGAACGGGGCUGUUGGAGUGGUUCUUGUUGCCGCUCACAUUCUCGUUUACCUCUUCCCUUCUUCUCUUACCUACUUUGCUCUCGUUCCUGCCAGG